GACGGAGGGUGCUAGCGUUGUUCGGAAUUACUGGGCGUAAAGGGCGCGUAGGCGGCCUGGUCAGUCGGAUGUGAAAGCCCGGGGCUCAACCCCGGAACGGCAUCCGAGACGGCCAGGCUGGAGACCGGGAGAGGAGAGUGGAAUAGCCAGUGUAGAGGUGAAAUUCGUAGAUAUUGGCUGGAACACCGGUGGCGAAGGCGGCUCUCUGGCCCGGUUCUGACGCUGAGGCGCGAAAGCCAGGGGAGCAAACGGG
RNAcentral lists this ribosomal RNA (253 nucleotides) under uncultured bacterium. RNAcentral's name for it is "partial 16S ribosomal RNA". It matches the Rfam family "Bacterial small subunit ribosomal RNA", at positions 524 to 776 of the family's 1533-position model. The record is from RNAcentral.